RNAcentral lists this small RNA (2281 nucleotides) under Pongo abelii (Sumatran orangutan). Its description in RNAcentral is "retained intron". Lineage: Eukaryota; Metazoa; Chordata; Mammalia; Primates; Hominidae. The record is from RNAcentral.
ACCUACUGUGCCAACAUGGCGGCGCCCAGAUCGUAAUUCGGAAAACGUGCACCCUGACUAAUUCGGUUUUCUGUGGCUACAAGAGCAGAGCCCGGUUUUUCGAGUGGCAGUCCCCAGGGCUGCCGAAUCCAGCAGCGAUGGAAAACGGCACCGGGCCCUACGGAGAAGAACGCCCACGUGAAGUCCAGGAGACGACAGUCACCGAGGGGGCUGCCAAAAUCGCCUUUCCCAGCGCCAACGAGGUCUUUUAUAACCCGGUGCAGGAAUUCAAUCGGGACCUGACAUGUGCUGUGAUCACCGAGUUUGCUCGCAUUCAGCUUGGGGCCAAAGGAAUCCAGAUCAAGGUGCCAGGAGAGAAGGACACUCAAAAAGUGGUCGUGGACUUGUCAGAGCAAGAGGAGGAAAAGGUUGAACUGAAAGAGAGUGAAAACCUGGCUUCAGGAGACCAACCUCGCACAGCGGCCGUGGGGGAGAUCUGUGAGGAAGGCCUGCAUGUGCUGGAAGGCCUGGCAGCUUCGGGCCUACGUUCCAUUCGAUUUGCCCUAGAGGUGCCUGGGCUCAGAUCUGUGGUUGCAAACGAUGCCUCUGCCCGGGCUGUGGAUCUCAUACGCCAGAAUGUCCAGCUCAAUGACGUGGCCCACCUGGUACAGCCGAGCCAAGCAGAUGCCCGGAUGCUGAUGUACCAGCACCAGAGGGUGUCGGAGAGGUUUGACGUCAUCGAUCUGGACCCCUAUGGCAGCCCAGCCACCUUCCUGGAUGCAGCUGUGCAGGCUGUGAGUGAAGGAGGUGAGGCGGGGAUGGCACUGGGGUAAGAGCAGGGCUUGGGGUGUUGGAGGGUUCUCACUGCCCAGCCCCUCUCUGCAGGGUUGCUGUGUGUGACCUGCACGGACAUGGCGGUGUUGGCGGGGAACAGCGGGGAGACAUGCUACAGCAAGUACGGGGCCAUGGCCCUCAAGAGCCGGGCCUGCCACGAGAUGGCCCUGAGAAUCGUCCUGCACAGCCUGGACCUCCGCGCCAACUGCUACCAGCGCUUCGUGGUGCCGCUGCUCAGCAUCAGCGCUGACUUCUACGUGCGUGUUUUUGUCCGUGUCUUCACCGGCCAGGCCAAGGUCAAGGCCUCAGCCAGCAAGCAGGCGCUGGUGUUCCAGUGUGUGGGCUGCGGGGCCUUCCACCUUCAGCGCCUCGGCAAAGCGUCAGGAGUCCCCAGCGGCCGGUGAGCAGGGAGGAAGGAGGAGAAGGGGAGUCCCAGGGUUUUCCUCCCUCCCUACCAACCAUCCCUCUCUGUUUAGGGUCAAGUUCUCUGCAGCCUGUGGUCCCCCCGUGACCCCCGAGUGUGAACACUGUGGGCAGCGACACCAGCUUGGUGGACCCGUGUGGGCAGAGCCCAUCCAUGACCUGGAUUUUGUGGGCCGUGUCUUGGAGGCUGUGAGCGCUAACCCCGGCCGCUUCCACACCUCGGAGCGGAUCCGAGGGGUCCUGAGCGUCAUCACUGAGGAGCUCCCGGACGUGCCUCUGUACUACACCCUGGACCAGCUGAGCAGCACCAUCCACUGCAACACGCCAAGCCUCCUGCAGUUGCGGUCGGCCCUCCUCCACGCUGACUUCCGGGUCUCACUCUCCCACGCCUGUAAGAACGCUGUGAAGACGGAUGCCCCUGCCUCCGCCCUCUGGGACAUCAUGCGUUGCUGGGAGAAGGAAUGUCCGGUGAAACGGGAGAGACUAUCAGAGACUAGCCCAGCAUUCCGCAUUCUCAGUGUGGAUCCCAGGCUACAGGCCAACUUCACCAUCCGGGAAGAUGCCAACCCCAGCUCCCGACAGCGAGGACUCAAGCGCUUCCAGGCUAACCCGGAGGCCAACUGGGGUCCCCGGCCUCGUGCCCGGCCAGGGUGAGUGGUGGUAGGGUGGGGGUGGGGCUCAGCCAGAGAAAGAAGGGGUAAAGGGCAGAUGGGGUCCCACCUACUCCUCCCCUCGCACAGGGGCAAGGCGGCCGACGAAGCUAUGGAGGGAAGACGCAGGCUGCUUCAGAACAAGCGGAAGGAGCCGCCGGAAGAUGUGGCCCAGCGGGCUGCCCGGCUCAAGACAUUUCCUUGCAAGAGGUUUAAGGAGGGCACCUGUCAACGCGGGGACCAGUGCUGCUACUCCCACAGCCCCCCAACACCCGGGGUUUCUGCUGAUGCUGCCCCUGACUGUCCAGAGACCUCCAACCAGAGCCCCCCUGGACCUGGGGCUGCCGCUGGGCCAGGCAUAGACUGAACCAAUAAAGAGAUGUCACGUCACCUUC